AUUACCUGCCGACAUGAACCUGCCUAAGGCAACAAAGUGUUCUGAUAAAGCACAAGGUAAGUCAUCAGGUCUAAAAGCUAAAAAGAUAAUUUAUCAAGACAUGGGACAAAGGAAGGAAGAGCUAUUUAUUCAUCUCAGCUUUAUUCAGCAUAUAGAUAUUCACAAGUAACCAAGAGACAAUUUUCUUACCCUCAAUAAAAUAUAUCCAAAGUUACAUAUAGCAGGAUUUAUAAUAUAUGCCUACAACAUUUUCCAGGAUCAAAGCUACAGAAAGAAGGUGUGAUUCCAUGGAAACAAAGGAAGAAAAAGCCUGAGAAAAAAAGACCUGGAAUUUGAUUUGGACGUUUUUCACAUGUUAGGUACUCAAUAGAAUGUAUUUCUUGAUAUCAAAUUAAAGAUUAUCAUCAAACGAGCCUGAUUUUUUCUAACAAAGCUCUGUAUUUAUAUUUAAAUGUAGGAUACAUGAUUUUAUAUAGUUAUAAAAAAAGAAAAGACAGAUGGAAUUUAACUGGCUCAAUUUCUAGGACAAAAUAGCAGUGCAACAUGGCGGAAUAUAAAAGGGCACUGUCAUCUACAGUCUCUUUAACAGAGCGUGCCAAAAGUUGGUGGCACCACUGUUAGACUGUUCAAACAACAAACAGAGCUAAUAUACUGAGUUAUAGAUGUAUUUCAAAGAGAAAUGAAUAUGAGGUAGACAAACUAAUGAAUGACCCAGGUCUGGAUGGUCACUGUGCAAGAUGCUGAGGAGUGAGACCAAAUGUUUUCAAGGAGCACAGUUGCUUAGGAGACAUUGUGAUAAUACUGGAAGAGAAAUCUAGAAUCCUGAAAGGACAAAAGAACUGGCCUAGGCCUGGACAGGGAAGUUGCCCUGGCCCUGGAGAAAUCUGAUCUGCAGAACUGCACAAAUGCCUCUAUCCCUCUAAGGGAGAUCUCACACCCUGGCAAGGGGGAAUUUGGACACAAACGGACAUACAAGAAUGCCAUGUGACCCUGAAGGCAGAUAUCAGAUGAUGUUUCUACAAGCCAACAAAAUGCCAAAGAUUACCAGCAAACGACCAGAAGCUACGAUCAAGGAAUGGAACAGAUUCUCUCUCAGAGUCCUCAGAAGGAAGAACCCUGCUGAUACCUUGAUCUCAGACUUCCAGCCUCCAAAACUGGGAGAUGAUGCAUUUCUUUCGCUCCAUGAAGAAAGACAGAGGAAUUGAUGUGUGUUCAAGACUUGAGAGCCAUGGAGAGGAGCUGGUAUCACCACUGCCUGCAGCUCAGGCCCAUCACUGCAUCCUUCACUCCACCAUUCCUCACCUGGAUUCACCUCACCCCUGACGUUAGAACCUGAACACGCCUCCGAAACUGGUGAGACAGAGGAGAGAAACUAAGCAUACAGUACCUGUCCUGUCUUGUCAAAGGGAAGCCUGACCUUCGUGAGCACAGAUAAGACUUCAGAAUCCUUCUCAGUUCUGCAUUCCAGGCAGUCACUACCAGUCAGAUGGAACUGACAUUCAAAAUGUAAUUUAUUUCCAGUCUUGGCCUUCGAGGGCAUAUACCCUAAAAGUCUAAAAGGUUCGUUGACAUAUUUGGAUAUUUUAAUUUUAUGUGCCUGGAUAGAAAGCUUUGUUUUAAAAGUUGGUGGCCGAGCACAGUGGCUCACUCCUAUAACCCCAGCACUGUGGGAGGCGGAGGUGAGCAGAUCAC
RNAcentral lists this long non-coding RNA (1692 nucleotides) under Homo sapiens (human). RNAcentral's name for it is "HSALNT0404277". Lineage: Eukaryota; Metazoa; Chordata; Mammalia; Primates; Hominidae. The record is from RNAcentral.